GGGGGCGAUUACCACGGCAGGGUUCGUGACUGGGGUGAAGUCGUAACAAGGUAGCCGUAUCGGAAGGUGCGGCUGGAUCACCUCCUUUCUA
RNAcentral lists this ribosomal RNA (91 nucleotides) under Kinneretia aquatilis. RNAcentral describes it as "Paucibacter aquatile partial 16S ribosomal RNA". It matches the Rfam family "Bacterial small subunit ribosomal RNA", at positions 1446 to 1533 of the family's 1533-position model. Lineage: Bacteria; Pseudomonadati; Pseudomonadota; Betaproteobacteria; Burkholderiales; Sphaerotilaceae. The record is from RNAcentral.